GCAGACUCACUCUGUGCUGAACUGCAGCCUUCAGUUCAGGUACUUUUUCAGUCUGCGAGAGCAAUAAUUCACGGAAGUGACAAUUGCCUUCUUUCUUGUAGAAGGCUGUUACAAUGGCUGUUGGGACACUGCU
Small nucleolar RNA from Calidris pygmaea (Spoon-billed sandpiper), 133 nucleotides. Lineage: Eukaryota; Metazoa; Chordata; Aves; Charadriiformes; Scolopacidae. The record is from Ensembl.